Molecule: ribosomal RNA, 486 nt
Filed under: uncultured bacterium
Lineage: Bacteria
Description: bacterial SSU rRNA
Rfam family: Bacterial small subunit ribosomal RNA
Source: RNAcentral
AGGAACGCUGGCGGCGUGGAUUAGGCAUGCAAGUCGAACGGUAUCAUCCUUUCGGGGGUGAGAGAGUGGCGAACUGGUGAGUAACACGUAGGUUAUCUACCCUCAAGACGGGGACAACCCAGGGAAACUUGGGCUAAUACCGGAUGUGAGCAACUUUUAGUUGUUUGAAAGGUGGCGUAAGCUGUCGCUUGGGGAUGAGCCUGCGUCCUAUUAGUUAGUUGGUGAGGUAACGGCUCACCUAGGCAAUGAUAGGUAGGCGGCCUUAACGGGUGGUCGCCCACACUGGGAUUGAGAUACGGCCCAGACUCCUACGGGAGGCAGCAGUCGAGAAUAGUCUACAAUGGUCGGAAGACUGAUAGUGCGACGCCGCGUGAACGAUGAAUCCCUUCGGGGUGUAAAGUUCUUUUAUAUGUGAGCAGUGCUUUCUAUGUGAACAGCAUGGGGAGAGAGAUAUUAGCAUAUGAAUAAGCAACGGCUAACUCCGUG